RNAcentral lists this ribosomal RNA (510 nucleotides) under uncultured bacterium. RNAcentral's name for it is "bacterial SSU rRNA". It matches the Rfam family "Bacterial small subunit ribosomal RNA", at positions 36 to 518 of the family's 1533-position model. The record is from RNAcentral.
CUGGCGGCGUGCCUAAUACAUGCAAGUCGAACGGCUUUUCUAUGGAAGCUUGCUUCCACUGAGAAGAUAGUGGCGAACGGGUGAGUAACACGUGGGUAACCUGCCCAUAAGAGGGGGGAUAACAUCCGGAAACGGGUGCUAAUACCGCAUAGUUUUCUUGAUUGCAUGAUUGAGAAAGGAAAGACGGCCUUUGUGCUGUCGCUUAUGGAUGGACCCGCGGCGUAUUAGUUAGUUGGUGAGGUAACGGCUCACCAAGACGAUGAUACGUAGCCGACCUGAGAGGGUGAUCGGCCACAUUGGGACUGAGACACGGCCCAAACUCCUACGGGAGGCAGCAGUAGGGAAUCUUCCGCAAUGGACGAAAGUCUGACGGAGCAACGCCGCGUGAGUGAAGAAAGGUUUUCGGAUCGUAAAACUCUGUUGUCAGAGAAGAACAAGUUGGAGAGUAACUGCUCCAGCCUUGACGGUAUCUGACCAGAAAGCCACGGCUAACUACGUGCCAGCAGCCGC